GAAAAGUUACAGAAUUCAGAACUCAUUUGUGAUUUGAUUCAUCUGAUAUAUUCUGGUCUUUCUUCACAAGGAAAACAACCUGUAAACUUAUAACUAGACAUGAACCCUUCAUCUGGUAAAAUUCUUCCAGAUCUUCUUAUAAAUUUUCUUCUGGAUCUUUGUUUACUAAAGUUUCAUGAAAGAUACAAUUUCUGAAGUCCUUCAGAUGCAACGAGGGUCUUGCUACGGGACCUUUUGGUAGCAAAGGUGAGCCAACAAUGUAGCGCAACGAGGCAAUCAUGGUAGGAUGGAGACGAUUGAUGGAAAACGAUCGUAAUAGAGCGAGAGAUUGGUAAGGCGAUAAGACAAGUAUCGAUAAUUAUCUUUUUGAUACUUAUAAAAUAUAAGAUACGAUAAGACAUAG
This 403-nucleotide long non-coding RNA is filed under the name Musa acuminata (dwarf banana). Its description in RNAcentral is "long non-coding RNA (MACU_LNC009222)". The record is from RNAcentral. Lineage: Eukaryota; Viridiplantae; Streptophyta; Magnoliopsida; Zingiberales; Musaceae.